This 485-nucleotide unclassified non-coding RNA is filed under the name Hevea brasiliensis (rubber tree). The record is from RNAcentral. Lineage: Eukaryota; Viridiplantae; Streptophyta; Magnoliopsida; Malpighiales; Euphorbiaceae.
AUUCAAACACCAAAGCAAAGAUGCAUAAGCGAUCGCUGGUUUCUCUUUUCAAUUUGUUCCGGAGACACCAUUUUCAACCGUUUCCACAACCAAUAUAUGCAUUUUCUCUCGAAUCGCUCUCAUCGAUUCCGACUCGACUCGUUCCCAGUUCAAUCCAACCUCUGAACCUCAAAUUUGUUCACACUUCCACCUCAAAUCUUUACACAUACGCCCGUUCACUUUGCCAAAACCUCGACGCCUGGCCCACGACUUAUAAAACUCGGAGAAAAUACAGUACUGAGUCGGAAGACGACCCAUUUCCCGCGUUGGAUGUGAACAAAGAGGUGGACAUGAUAAAUCUCAAGUUUGCAGAAGCAAGAGAGGAGAUAGAAAUGGCAAUGGAGUCAAAAGAGACUGUGUAUUUCAACGAAGAGGCGGAGUGUGCACGAACUGCAGUGAAAGAAGUGCUGGACAUGUUUGAGGGGCUACUGGGGAAGUUGCCAGGG